GAAAGUCGGACUAAUACCGUAUGAUAUCCUAUGCAGGCAUCUAACUAGGAUUAAAGGUUUAGCGGUAAGGGAUGGGGAUGCGUCUGAUUAGGCAGUUGGCGGGGUAACGGCCCACCAAACCGACGAUCAGUAGGGGUUCUGAGAGGAAGGUCCCCCACAUUGGAACUGAGACACGGUCCAAACUCCUACGGGAGGCAGCAGCC
Molecule: ribosomal RNA, 203 nt
Filed under: uncultured Prevotella sp.
Lineage: Bacteria; Pseudomonadati; Bacteroidota; Bacteroidia; Bacteroidales; Prevotellaceae
Description: partial 16S ribosomal RNA
Rfam family: Bacterial small subunit ribosomal RNA
Source: RNAcentral